Molecule: ribosomal RNA, 449 nt
Filed under: uncultured bacterium
Lineage: Bacteria
Description: partial 16S ribosomal RNA
Rfam family: Bacterial small subunit ribosomal RNA
Source: RNAcentral
AGCGAACGCUGACGGCAGGCCUAACACAUGCAAGUCGAACGGAGUCUUCGGACUUAGUGGCGGACGGGUGAGUAACACGUGGGAACGUGCCUUUAGGUUCGGAAUAACUCAGGGAAACUUGUGCUAAUACCGAAUGUGCCCUUCGGGGGAAAGAUUUAUCGCCUUUAGAGCGGCCCGCGUCUGAUUAGCUAGUUGGUGAGGUAAAGGCUCACCAAGGCGACGAUCAGUAGCUGGUCUGAGAGGAUGAUCAGCCACAUUGGGACUGAGACACGGCCCAAACUCCUACGGGAGGCAGCAGUGGGGAAUCUUGCGCAAUGGGCGAAAGCCUGACGCAGCCAUGCCGCGUGAAUGAUGAAGGUCUUAGGAUUGUAAAAUUCUUUCACCGGGGACGAUAAUGACGGUACCCGGAGAAGAAGCCCCGGCUAACUUCGUGCCAGCCGCCGCAGUAA